AAGUCGUAACAAGGUUUCCGUAGGUGAACCUGCGGAAGGAUCAUUAAUGGGUUCAUGGCCUCCGGGCCGCAAUCCCCACCCUUCGCAACCGCGGCCACGAUUCGGCGCCAGGGCGGGGCCCCCUCUGUUCGCGGAGGGCCCCCGCCCGCCGGAAUCACGCAACCCUGCCUGAAAAAUGCAGUCUGAGAAAACGAAAAAUUAGCGAAAACUUUCAACAACGGAUCUCUUGGUUCUG
Molecule: unclassified non-coding RNA, 235 nt
Filed under: Venturiaceae sp.
Lineage: Eukaryota; Fungi; Ascomycota; Dothideomycetes; Venturiales; Venturiaceae
Description: partial contains small subunit ribosomal RNA, internal transcribed spacer 1, and 5.8S ribosomal RNA
Rfam family: Eukaryotic small subunit ribosomal RNA (bases 1-46)
Source: RNAcentral